GUUGUUUUAUAUUUUAUUUUAUUACUUUAUUUUUUCAUUGUUGCUUUUUAAAACUUAGACAUCUUUUUCCUUAAAAGUGAUAGAAUUAGUCCACCUCCAAUGGCAUCUUACACAGAACCUCAUUAAAUAAUGCAGGGGAAAUUGGAGCUGGUCUGGUGAGUUAUCUGGUCUUCCCUCCGCCUCAUUACGUAUAACCCAUUUCCCACACCAGCGCCUGAGAGGAGCGUAAGGCCUCAGGAAGCCCAUUUAUAACCACUAGCUUCAAGUACUGUAGGCACCUGUUAAAUUGUAACCUGAAGGUAGACUGUGUGAAACCAUCAUCAGGCAUUCAUACCUUAUUUGGAAGGGAUUUAUAUGAUUUCCUGCCCAGUGAGCAAUCAGAUAUCCAAAGGUGAGGAUAUAUCUUGGAAGCAGAAGCAAGUUAGGAAAAGGUUCAGGGCAUUGGACCCAGCCUUUGGGGGCAGUCUUUGUUUGUGAUGGUUUUGAGAAUGACCUUUCCCCAUCUUCCAGAAGCAAGCAGCAUAAGGCUUGGCAGGAAGGUACGAGUCCUGGGAAGGAUAUACCUACACCUGGGGUCACGACUUCAAAUGCCUGCAAUGCCAGUUUUAAACUCUUCUGGAUGGAUGCUGGGCUACGUGAUCCCACUCAGCUGGAGAGCCUCUGGGAUGAAUGGGCCAAUUCCAGAGCCACUGCCGAUAAUCUGCAAGGCAGAAAAUCCAAUUAUGGGUAAUUAG
RNAcentral lists this long non-coding RNA (734 nucleotides) under Canis lupus familiaris (dog). RNAcentral describes it as "lncRNA (ENSCAFG00000035932.3, ENSCAFG00845029131.1)". Lineage: Eukaryota; Metazoa; Chordata; Mammalia; Carnivora; Canidae. The record is from RNAcentral.